RNAcentral lists this ribosomal RNA (243 nucleotides) under uncultured bacterium. Its description in RNAcentral is "partial 16S ribosomal RNA". It matches the Rfam family "Bacterial small subunit ribosomal RNA", at positions 774 to 1017 of the family's 1533-position model. The record is from RNAcentral.
AGGAUAGAUACCCUGGUAGUCCACGCCGUAAACGAUGUCUACUAGCCGUUGGGACUCUUGAAGUCUUAGUGGCGCAGCUAACGCACUAAGUAGACCGCCUGGGGAGUACGGCCGCAAGGUUAAAACUCAAAUGAAUUGACGGGGGCCCGCACAAGCGGUGGAGCAUGUGGUUUAAUUCGACGCAACGCGAAGAACCUUACCUGGCCUUGACAUGCAGAGAACUUUCCAGAGAUGGAUUGGUGC